ACAAUGGAGGUGAGUACACUUCAAGUGAAUUUGAAGAGUACUGUUCAAGUCAUGGGAUUAGACAUGAAAAGACAGUUCAUGGAACCCCACAGCACAAUGGUGUAGCCGAGAGGAUGAACCGCACUAUCGUGGAGAAGGUGAGAAGCAUGCUCAGAAUGGCUAAACUACCUAAGUCAUUCUGGGGUGAAGCAGUUCAAACAACCUAUGGAACCCCACAGCACAAUGGUGUAGCAGAGAUGAUAAACCGCACUAUUGUGGAGAAGGAGAGAAGCAUGCUCAGAAUGGCUAAACUACCUAAGUCAUUCUGGAGUGAAGCAGUUCAAACAACCUGUUACCUGAUCAAUAGGAGUCCAUCAGUUCUAUUGGCGUUUGACAUCCCAGAGAGAGUUUGGACUAAUAAGGAGGUGUCCUACUCGCAUCUAAAGGUGUUCGGUUGCAGAGCUUUUGCACAUGGAUCGAAAGAGCAGAGAACAAAGCUGGAU
This 482-nucleotide long non-coding RNA is filed under the name Nicotiana benthamiana. Its description in RNAcentral is "long non-coding RNA (NBEN_LNC012875)". The record is from RNAcentral. Lineage: Eukaryota; Viridiplantae; Streptophyta; Magnoliopsida; Solanales; Solanaceae.